UCCGUAGACUGUACUGUAAGUUAUUUGUUAAAUCCUAAAGCUCAACUUUAGAACAGCUUAUAAUACUACUUUACUUGAGUUUUGUUCAGAAGAGUAGAAUUCCAUGUUUAGGGAUAAGCCCCGUAGAUAUAUGGAGGAACACCUGUGGCGAAGGCGACUCUUUGGUAAAACUGACGUUGAGGGACGAAAGUGUAGGGAGCAAACA
This 205-nucleotide ribosomal RNA is filed under the name uncultured bacterium. RNAcentral describes it as "partial 16S ribosomal RNA". It matches the Rfam family "Bacterial small subunit ribosomal RNA", at positions 568 to 774 of the family's 1533-position model. The record is from RNAcentral.